UCCAUGUUUUAAUGAUUAGCAUAAAUAAGCUUAAGUUUACCAGGUUAGAAAAACAGAAAGAUUUCAAAAGAGGGUCAUUCAAACUCAUAAAUAAAGAAAAACUGACAACGCCAUGGCUAAACAAAAUCAAACAAACAAACAAUACUACACAAAACGCAACAUAGAAAGAUAAAGACGAGCCACAUAAAAAGCUGUUGGAUAGGGAUCUCAGAUGCUCGACAUGUUGCUCUUGCUAGCCGGUAAUUAGUCAAAUCGGUAGAUCAUAUUGGUGAAAAAGGAACGGGAUUGUAGCUACGACAUUAGGAACAUAUUCGAUGUAAUCAGUGAAAUGGAUAUUCAACCAAAUCGUGUUUGCGUCAGUAAAAUUGACGAAGG
RNAcentral lists this long non-coding RNA (375 nucleotides) under Mytilus galloprovincialis (Mediterranean mussel). The record is from RNAcentral. Lineage: Eukaryota; Metazoa; Mollusca; Bivalvia; Mytilida; Mytilidae.